AAUCAACGGCUGGCGGCGUGCCUCAGACAUGCAAGUCGAACGAUUAAACUUUCCUUCGGGAAAGAUAUAAAGUGGCGCACGGGUGAGUAACACGUAGGUAAUGUACCUUUGGGUGGGGAAUAACCAUCGGAAACGAUGGCUAAUACCGCAUAAUGCAGCGGCAUCGCAAGAUGACAGUUGUUAAAGAUUUAUCGCCUAAAGAGCAGCCUGCGGCAGAUUAGGAGUUGGUAAGGUAA
This 236-nucleotide ribosomal RNA is filed under the name uncultured bacterium. Its description in RNAcentral is "partial 16S ribosomal RNA". It matches the Rfam family "Bacterial small subunit ribosomal RNA", at positions 35 to 260 of the family's 1533-position model. The record is from RNAcentral.